This 233-nucleotide ribosomal RNA is filed under the name uncultured bacterium. RNAcentral's name for it is "partial 16S ribosomal RNA". It matches the Rfam family "Bacterial small subunit ribosomal RNA", at positions 524 to 754 of the family's 1533-position model. The record is from RNAcentral.
UACGAAGGGGGGCUAGCGUUGCUCGGAAUCACUGGGCGUAAAGGGUGCGUAGGCGGGUUUUUAAGUCAGGGGUGAAAUCCUGGAGCUCAACUCCAGAACUGCCUUUGAUACUGAAGAUCUUGAGUCCGGGAGAGGUGAGUGGAACUGCGAGUGUAGAGGUGAAAUUCGUAGAUAUUCGCAAGAACACCAGUGGCGAAGGCGGCUCACUGGCCCGGGUACUGACGCUGAGGCAC